Molecule: ribosomal RNA, 490 nt
Filed under: uncultured bacterium
Lineage: Bacteria
Description: partial 16S ribosomal RNA
Rfam family: Bacterial small subunit ribosomal RNA
Source: RNAcentral
AGUGAACGCUGGCGGCAGGCCUAACACAUGCAAGUCGAACGGCAGCACAAGAGAGCUUGCUCUCUGGGUGGCGAGUGGCGGACGGGUGAGGAAUGCAUCUGAAUCUGCCCAUUUGUGGGGGAUAACCUCGGGAAACCGGUACUAAUACCGCAUACGACCUACGGGUGAAAGCUGGGGAUCUUCGGACCUUGCGCAGAUGGAUGAGCCGAUGCCGGAUUAGCUAGUUGGAGGGGUAAAGGCCCACCAAGGCGACGAUCCGUAGCUGGUCUGAGAGGAUGAUCAGCCACACUGGGACUGAGACACGGCCCAGACUCCUACGGGAGGCAGCAGUGGGGAAUAUUGGACAAUGGGCGCAAGCCUGAUCCAGCCAUGCCGCGUGUGUGAAGAAGGCCUUCGGGUUGUAAAGCACUUUUGUUGGGAAAGAAAAGCAGCCGGUUAAUACCCGGUUGUCAUGACGGUACCCAAAGAAUAAGCACCGGCUAACUUCGUG